RNAcentral lists this ribosomal RNA (572 nucleotides) under Clavicipitaceae sp. KJ-2012. RNAcentral's name for it is "eukaryotic LSU rRNA". The stretch from base 234 to 387 matches the Rfam family "5.8S ribosomal RNA". Lineage: Eukaryota; Fungi; Ascomycota; Sordariomycetes; Hypocreales; Clavicipitaceae. The record is from RNAcentral.
GUCGUAACAAGGUCUCCGUUGGUGAACCAGCGGAGGGAUCAUUACCGAGUUAUACAACUCCCAAACCCACUGUGAACCUUACCUCAGUUGCCUCGGCGGGAACGCCCCGGCCGCCUGCCCCCGCGCCGGCGCCGGACCCAGGCGCCCGCCGCAGGGACCCCAAACUCUCUUGCAUUACGCCCAGCGGGCGGAAUUUCUUCUCUGAGUUGCACAAGCAAAAACAAAUGAAUCAAAACUUUCAACAACGGAUCUCUUGGUUCUGGCAUCGAUGAAGAACGCAGCGAAAUGCGAUAAGUAAUGUGAAUUGCAGAAUUCAGUGAAUCAUCGAAUCUUUGAACGCACAUUGCGCCCGCCAGCAUUCUGGCGGGCAUGCCUGUUCGAGCGUCAUUUCAACCCUCGAGCCCCCCCGGGGGCCUCGGUGUUGGGGGACGGCACACCAGCCGCCCCCGAAAUGCAGUGGCGACCCCGCCGCAGCCUCCCCUGCGUAGUAGCACACACCUCGCACCGGAGCGCGGAGGCGGUCACGCCGUAAAACGCCCAACUUUCUUAGAGUUGACCUCGGAUCAGGUAGG